GUUGUGUUGAUGAACUGUUAGUGAGUCGAGUGUUGUUCGUGUGUCAAGUUACUUCCAGUUCUUGUAAAGUGAUUGUAGUAAAGUAUUUUGAAGUUUGAUACCAGUUAUUUUGACAACCCUUCUGAUGAUUUCAUGAGCCUCCCUCUUGAGGUAAUUCGGUUUGUUUUGUAUGUUGCCUUGUAGAUUUGUUAUUUCCACGCACUCUCUCUCACUCUAGAAUUCAUUGGUUUCUCUCUCUAGUUUCACCCCGUUAUCCUCUUCGCGAGGACACAAGUCCACCAGCCCCAUAGCGCCGACCGUAGUGGUGUGCGGCGACGCUAUGCUCCUCCCACUACGGGUGGCCUAACCCCCUGUUUUUCUUGUUUGUUUUCUGCUCAUUUUCCAUUUCCAUUAUACCCUUUUGAGCACAAGAACUCAGACACAUUCUUCAUUUCCAUCUCUUGAUCUCCUUCUUUCUCUCUCUCAGAUCUGAAAUCACAGACCCAAAUCCACCACCAUCACCAUCAUCCGGUUACUGAAAUCCACCAACAACCUGCGAUAUUUUCCAUCUCCAUAGCAAAUCACCCUCGACCACAACGAUUUAUGUUUCAGAUCUGGAAUUCAACCCCUGUUUCUCACCCUACUCUCUCACACAUAACUGUGUGUCUGACAAAAAAAAAACAAAUGUGAAGGUGAUGAAGGAAGAUCGAACCUGAGUUUCUGGUCCGUGUCUGAAUCCAUGAAAUUGUUCUUUUAAUUCUUAAGAUUUUAAGGUAGAAAUUAGAGAAUUGAUUCUGUGCAGUUAGAUUAUUAGUUUAUGUGCUUGUUUUGGAUUAUUAAUUUUGGAACAUAAGAUAAAACAGAGAAUAAUGGUGGUUUGUAUUAUGAAAUAAUGUUUAAAGUUUAAUUAGUUUGGUUUAAUAGAAAUGUUGAAACUAAUUAUCUUAGUGGUUUUAGUGUUUCUAAGAGGGUGUUUGGGAUUACGUUUUGAAAUAAUUAUUUGAUUAUUGCGUUUGUAAAACAUAAAUAAUCUAAAAAAGUGUUUGGAUGAAAAAGUGAUUAUCUGCCUCCAAAACGCAGUUUUGGAGAAGCAUGUACCUACACGCAAAAUCUAUUUUGAAAACGCAUAAUCUAUUUUGAAAACGCAACACCAAACACCCCCUAAUUGUGGUGGAUCAUGAAUUUGGGACUGCUUUAAACUACUAGAGAAGGUAUGUAGUAGUGGCGGUUGGGAUAGUGGUGGCUAAUGGUGGUGAUGGAGAAUUGAUGUGAGAGAGAGGUGGAUAUAUAUAUAUAUAUAUAUAUAUAUAUAUAGAGAGAGAGAGAGAGAGAAAGGGAGAGGUGUUUUAUUUAUUAAAUUGUUUUUAAAUAAAUGGGUAAAAAGACUAGAAUGCCCUUUUGUUAACUAACUUAACUGAAAAAAUUAACUUGGUAAGGGCUAAGAGUAUAAGGAGUGGUUAAUCACUUGAGAGUGGUAAACUUAAAAAUCAACCAAUGAGAGUGUGUCAUGUCAUUUAGUGAAAAGUGUUUAAACUAUGCUGAAAAGUGUUGGCAAUGGUUAGACACUUGCUGAAUUGGUAAACUUUUAUUUUUAUUUUUUAUUUUUUGUAAACUAGUAUAAUACACGUGUACACAACACUCGUAAUUUUUCUAACGGUUCUUGCUCGCAUCGGCCGACUCAAUACACCUCAUUUCGCCUUCAAAACACCAAAAGCCCGUUCGACGUCUUUUCUUGCCGCCUCAUGUUGCCUCUUGAAUUUCUUUUCGUCUACUUCGUGAGGGUAUGGGAUCGACUUCACAAACACGGACCACGGAGGGUAGAUUCCAUCCACGAGCAAAUAAUCACGUAUGUAUAAAUGGUUGUUAACGUAAAAUGGACAUUUUGGCACGGUUCCAUUUCGUUCCGUUAAAAAUAACAGAGAUUGUUGUAGCACAUUGAUAUCGUUUUGUGAACCCGCUGGACCGCAAAAAGCAUGCCAAAACCAUAAAUCUUGAGAUGCAACCGCUUCGAGCAUAACAGUCGGGUAUUGGUGCUCUCCUCGCUUAUAUUGGCCUCGAUAAUCUGUGGGACAAAAUCGCCAAACGAAAUGGGUGCAAUCAAGGCUACUGAACAUACCUGGAAGGUGAUGUUUUUCCUCAUGAGCUUCGUAUAAAAGUGCCAUGUCGUGGCUUGUCGGUCUACGUAAGAACUCGGGAGCGUAUAUUUUGCAAACCGUGUCGCAAAAAUAUUCUAGGCACUUGCGGGAAGUUCUUUCGGCCAUAUGCAAGUACUCGUCGUUCUCGUCUGGAGUGUUACCAGUUGCGAGCUGUUUAAUAGCCGAUGUAACCCUUUGCAACGGCGUAAAGCCCUUCCUACCUCGCGCAUCGAGGGCCUCUUGAAACCACGAGUCGUUCGCUUCCACGUUGCUCACAAUUUUUAGAAACAAACGUUUUGACAUACGGAACCUAUGCCGAAAAAUAUCGUCGUUGUGUUUUGGGUCUUCGUCAAAAUAAUCCGCCAUGAGUGUCUCAUGCCCCACCUCACGUUGACGUUCAAUAUAUCUCUUUCGGUUACAUGUGCUCGUGUCUUGAAGUUCGGCGUCUUCGAUGAGAUUUUGGAAAAAAAGAAUGCUACUAUCGGAUGAAUCGUCGCUACUAUUGGGUGGGGACCAUAACGAGAGUUAAUUCGCCAUUUUGUUUUGUAAUGAUUGGGUUAAUGUUUGGUAUUUUUUGGUUUGGUUGGGGUAUAAAUUUGAAAGUAUUUGGGUAUGAUUUAUGUUAGGUAUUUAUAGUUUAAUUUUAAAAAUAAAAUAUAUAUAUUUUUUUAUUUUAAACGGCUAUAUAGCCGUUGCACAUGCUCCCAACGGUCAAAAUUGGCCCUUUGUCGAUCGGUAACCAAACACCGAAUGAUAACCUUCACCGCGCGGCACAGAUGGUUGGAGGUGGUGUUCCCGAGCGGCAAACAACUUUUGCCGAACCACUUUGUCGCCCACACCGUAUCUCCUAAAGGACAUAACAGUGGAAGCUACUAUGUAUCAGUCAUGUUCAUCACAAUGGGUGUUAAGGUGAUGAAAAAUCACCCCGUCGAAGUGGAAGCUACUGAAGUGAAGAAGACGCUUUAUUCUAUAUCAUCUACAUCGCUCAACCUCUGUCAACCCGGAUAAUGUAACCAUACAAGAAGUACUCAGUUUAACCACACGCUGGACCCCACAGCGUUACGUGAGGAUUAAACCCAUUGAAGCCAUCUUUAAGUUAACAUUGAAGGUGGGAGAAUCAUUGUUUAACAUCAGCUCAGUGAUAAAAAGUAACGUGUUUCCUACUACAUCAUUUGAAUCUGAUCAGCAGAUUGAUUUUGUGUCAAUUGAAGUACGUCUAUCCACGGAGCAGCUCAGAAGUCUAGCUAGUAAAAUGAAGUCUGGUAAUCUUUGGUUCUCACUCAUAGUGAACUAUAGGUUCAAAUAGCAUUUGGUAGGUUUCCCUCUGUACCCCAUAAUUUAUCAGAAUGCGGUCUUAUCGUGUGACUUGGGAGUUGGUCGUGGACCAACAUAUACAAUUUCUUUCACGACCAACUCCCAAGUCAUAUGAUAAGACCGCAUUAUGAUAAAUAAUGGGGUACAGAGGGAAACCUACCAAAUUCUCUUUGAACCUGUAGUUCACUGUGAGUGAGAACCAAAGACUAUCAGACUUCAUGUCACUAGCUAGACUUCUGAGCUGCUCCGUGAAUAGACGUAGUUCAAUUGACGCAAAAUCAAUUUGCUGAUCAGAUUUAAAUGAUGUAGUGGGAAACACAUUCCUUUUUAUCACGGAGCUGAUGUUAAACAAUGAUUCUCCCACCUUCAAGUUUAACUUGAAGAUGGGUUUAAUCCUCACGUAACGUUGUGAGGUCCAACGAGUAGUUAAACUGAGUGCUUCUUGUAUGGUUACAUUAUCCGGGUUGACAAUUUCUGGGAGGCUGGGCGAUGUAGAUGAUAUAGAAUAAAGCGGCUUCAUCACUUCAGCUGCUUCUAAUUAACACCCAUCGUGAUGAACAUGAUAGUUACACAUACGAGAUCAACCCGUACAUCAGCAUUUGCAUUCUCCGGCGGUGGUGGUGCACCAUUGAGAUCAACCCUUACAUUUGCAUUCACCGGCGGUGGUGGUGCACCAUCGAGAUCAACCCAUACAUCUAUAGGGAACAUUACACUGCCUAUGUGACGGGAAUUGAAGUCGGUGCAGAGUUUUUGAAUCUUUCAAAUGGAGCAGUAGAGAAGAGAAAGGCAGUAAUAGAUAGUGGUACAUCAUUGGUAUAUCUCCCAAAAGUGAUCUACAAGCCACUGAUCCUAGCAGUGCAGUCCGGUAUGUGAUCACAUGUUCUUCAUGACAAUUUUACAUGCAUUGGAAGUAGGGGUAUAAGUGUUGAUGAUGAGUUUCCUGCAGUCACAUUCCAUUUUGAAAAUUCAGUUUCAUUGAAGGUUGAUCCUCAUGAUUAUAUGUUUAUAUAUGGUGAUUUAAUGUGUUUGGGGUGGCAAGAGAAUUACAUGGGCUCCACAAGUGAAAGGGACAUAAUUGUAUUGGGAGAAUUGAUACUCUUGGAUAAGCUCUUCUUGUAUGAUCUUGAAAAGUAGACAAUUGGAUGGACCGAAUACAACUGUGAGUCCUAUGUUUUUAACGUGUUAAUUCGAGCUGGUCAAAGGGGGUUUGGGUCAACUGGUAACUUUCGGUAUGGGUUUAGGUUGACCCAACACCCCUUUUCUCCAAAAUAUUCAAAAUGUUGUAUAAGUAGGUAGUGUGUCGGAUAUGAUCACGAUAAACUAUAAUAAUCAUAAUCUUUGAAUGAAUUGAUUUUUAAGGUUUUAUAAUAAGCAAAUGUAACUCAUUUGACUAGUUUACUUUUAAGCUAACUUUUUUGGAUUUA
Helianthus annuus (common sunflower) is the source of this 4852-nucleotide long non-coding RNA. RefSeq lists it as uncharacterized. NCBI's taxonomy places the organism in Eukaryota, Viridiplantae, Streptophyta, Magnoliopsida, Asterales, Asteraceae. The record is from RefSeq and is a predicted model, not a curated record. The transcript is spliced from 6 exons.